This is a long non-coding RNA of Austrofundulus limnaeus, 1604 nucleotides long. RefSeq lists it as uncharacterized. The transcript is spliced from 3 exons. Lineage: Eukaryota; Metazoa; Chordata; Actinopteri; Cyprinodontiformes; Rivulidae. The record is from RefSeq and is a predicted model, not a curated record.
CGCUCGCGCUGCUGCAGCAGGUGAAUUAGUGAAGGUAAUUAACCACUGAAACUGGUUAUGUCGGGUUUAAUUAUGUAACUAUGUUAUAGGGUUUCAUAGSAAUACAAAAUAUACAAAAUGUAAUAAAUAAAGAAGUUUUAAAUGGAAGUUAAAGAAGAAGUCAGCAUUUCUUGGACGUACCUGUGUGGAAGAGUCCAUCUUGACUGGACGGCAUCUUCGAUGGUUUCAAUUUCCAGCCCAUUCCCCAAUUUUCAACCCCAAUGACAGACAACACACGCCGGAAUGGCUGUUUAGUCGUACAAGAGGUGCAGAUCUAAGCAGUGAAGACGAGGAGGAGGAGGAGGAGGAAGGACUGCAGACACGGAGAAAGAAAGAUAGAAAACGGGGAGGAGUAGAUGAAGAGACACCCAGACAAAGAGGUGGUUUCGGUCUACCAGGAACACACAGCUCUAGCCGCCAGCAGUGUGUCAGUGGUGGUCCCCUCAUCCAGUCUGCUGCAGCAGCUGCCAGAGAGGCACCAGGCUGAGCGAGACCCAGAUCCUUCCAUGGCCCCGUCUCAGGUCCAGAGCCCCAUCAACUCCCUGUUCCUCCGGGCCCAGCUGUCUUCUCCUGCUCUCUGUCUUCACACCAAAAACCAUGUUAGUYGCCCUGAAUCAGAACCCUGGGGCCUGUGUCUUUUUUCUUUUCAUGCAGCCUCAGCAGAAGCCCCCUUCAUCCCCUCGUAUGCCUUCAUAACAAAACCAACCUCAGCUUCUCAACACCGCCUGACCUAAUAUCUCUCCUGCAGCUUCUUCCACACCAAAUAAUUUGCUCCCAUGUGCAUUCAGACCGGACAGUAACAUGUAAAAGCUGUAUUUCUUUUCCUAUUURUGUUACAGUAGGGUAAAGUUCUAAUCAGUGUCAUAAAGUAAAUCUGUGCUCGUAAAAUCCUUUAUAACAGCUGCUAGCAUAUUGAGCCAACAGACAUCAGACAAUUCAGCUGCUUGACUAAAAGAUACAGGAAACACGACCAGAAACUAAAUGUGAGUGUGUGAAAAUGAAAAAAGAUCACUUCAGGACAUGAUCUGACCAAGUUUAUUGUUGUUUUUUAGUUGACAUUUUGCUGAAGCGUUUCUUCCACAUGAUCAAACUGUUAUUUGGUCAUAAAAUGAUAAUUAACUUGUUAAAUUACAGUGAAGGUGAUCACCAUGCAGGCACGUGUGAUGAUAGUAGAAAUAAAAUUACUAUUUUAUAAUGAAAUAACUUAUAAAUAAUCAACAGUUGGGUAAAUAAGAUACUGUAAACAAAUUAUAAUUGUAUUAAUGCUUAUGAAUACGUAUAGUUGAUGCUGACUCAGCUUCUGCCAGAUCAAAUGUUUUAAUAGUUAUUUAUUCAGAUAAAUGUAUUAUUGUCUUUGUUGCUCACCUCAACAAAGAUCUCCCAUUAAUCACUUACCUUUGCUUUACUGUAUUACAUUAUUCUUGAUAAAUAYUUACAUCCACUCAACUUUAUUUAUUUGGCAGUUUUCAAGUGUAACUCAAAGUUCUGCACACAACAGGUCAAUAGAAUUAGGCAUGACGAUAUAAAUCAAAACAAAACAUAAAACCAGAAAUAUAAAACAAAAA